AGGACGAACGCUGGCGGCGUGCUUAACACAUGCAAGUCGAGCGGAAAGGCCCUUCGGGGUACUCGAGCGGCGAACGGGUGAGUAACACGUGAGUAAUCUGCCCCUAGCUCUGGGAUAGCUCCGGGAAACCGGGAUUAAUACUGGAUACGACCACCUUAGACAUCUUUUGUGGUGGAAAGAAUUUCGGCUAGGGAUGAGCUCGCGGCCUAUCAGCUUGUUGGUGGGGUAACGGCCUACCAAGGCGACGACGGGUAGCCGGCCUGAGAGGGCGACCGGCCACACUGGGACUGAGACACGGCCCAGACUCCUACGGGAGGCAGCAGUGGGAAUAUUGCGCAAUGGGCGAAAGCCUGACGCAGCGACGCCGCGUGGGGAAUGAAGGCCUUCGGGUUGUAAACCCCUUUCAGCAGGGACGAAGCGAAAGUGACGGUACCUGCAGAAGAAGCGCCGGCUAACUACGUGCCAGCAGCCGC
This 473-nucleotide ribosomal RNA is filed under the name uncultured bacterium. RNAcentral's name for it is "SSU rRNA". It matches the Rfam family "Bacterial small subunit ribosomal RNA", at positions 26 to 518 of the family's 1533-position model. The record is from RNAcentral.